CACCAAAUCACAACAAAGUGAAAAACAUUCUUCGAACUUAAAAACAAAUAUAAUGAACUUGAUUAAUAUACACGUGGGGGUAACAUUUAAAAGCACAAGGGAAUCACAUUUUCAUCAGUUCACUUUAAGCCACGAUACUCUUUGGAAAAGAAGAAACGAUUGAAAAGUCUUUAUACCGAUACUCCAGUAGAGUUAUAGUUAAGCUGUGCGACAGAGCAAAAUGGGGUUUUUCUGCGCAAAUAAUAAAUACGCAAAAGAAAUGUUUUCCUUGAUUCAAAAAUCACAACAACAUCGUCUGAACGAUCAAAGAUGUGAUCCUGAAAUUAUUAAAAAAGCAGACGAGAAUCAACUCUUUGAAACGAUAAUUUUCUAUCAGUCCAAGAGAAUUGAAGACCAACGUUGCAACAUGCCGUCCAACCUCGCAAAGGAUCAGCAAUAAAAUGUUGUUGAAGAAAUAAACAGCAAGAGCUAAUUGUUUGCCUCGUCACAUUUUGACCGCUAGAGUCCAGAGAUGUCACUAAUGAAUGCUUUGACGAUAUCGACGCAAAUAUCAGGUAGACGCUCAGUACAUCAUCCGUAAAGAGAGAAAUGAGGUACAACAACAUGGCUACACCGAGACAGUUGAAAAAAAAUAGUCAAAUGCAUUCUGAAGAUGGAAUUGAUAGCUAUACACAAAGGCGAUGCAAAAACUGUAAGAAAAGAAAGAACAGUGAACUAUUUAAUAAAGGGAAACUUUAUUUCACGAUAGCUACAUGCAUUUGUCAAAUUACUUAUACAUACGGUUAUUUGGUUGUUUAAAGGUUAUUGAGAAUAGUUUAUUACGUUUGAAAUAAAAUUAGACAAUAAAUCAA
Molecule: long non-coding RNA, 851 nt
Organism: Xenia sp. Carnegie-2017
Lineage: Eukaryota; Metazoa; Cnidaria; Anthozoa; Malacalcyonacea; Xeniidae
Exons: 2
Source: RefSeq, a predicted model, not a curated record